GGUUCUAGCUCAGUGGUAGAGUACUUGCCUAGCACGAGAGGUACUGGGUUUAAUCCUCAGCACCA
Molecule: transfer RNA, 65 nt
Filed under: Marmota monax (woodchuck)
Lineage: Eukaryota; Metazoa; Chordata; Mammalia; Rodentia; Sciuridae
Description: tRNA.Ala
Source: RNAcentral